GCCCCAGUGGUGUAGCGGACUAUCAUACGGCCCUGUCGAGGCCGUGACCCGGAUUCGAAUUCCGGCUGGGGCGC
This 74-nucleotide transfer RNA is filed under the name uncultured archaeon. RNAcentral describes it as "tRNA-Asp(gtc)". It matches the Rfam family "tRNA". From Rfam's summary of the family: Transfer RNA (tRNA) molecules are approximately 80 nucleotides in length. Their secondary structure includes four short double-helical elements and three loops (D, anti-codon, and T loops). The record is from RNAcentral.